UACGUAGGGUGCGAGCGUUGUCCGGAAUUAUUGGGCGUAAAGAGCUCGUAGGCGGUGUGUCGCGUCGGCCGUGAAAACCUGCAGCUUAACUGUGGGCUUGCGGUCGAUACGGGCAUCACUGGAGUUCGGCAGGGGAGACUGGAAUUCCUGGUGUAGCGGUGAAAUGCGCAGAUAUCAGGAGGAACACCGGUGGCGAAGGCGGCAUCCUGGACCGGUAUUGACGCUGAUGCGCGAAAGCCAGGGGAGCAAACGGG
This 254-nucleotide ribosomal RNA is filed under the name uncultured bacterium. RNAcentral's name for it is "partial 16S ribosomal RNA". It matches the Rfam family "Bacterial small subunit ribosomal RNA", at positions 524 to 776 of the family's 1533-position model. The record is from RNAcentral.